GCUGACGAGUGGCGGACGGGUGAGUAAUGUCUGGGAAACUGCCUGAUGGAGGGGGAUAACUACUGGAAACGGUAGCUAAUACCGCAUAACGUCGCAAGACCAAAGAGGGGGACCCUCGGGCCUCUUGCCAUCGGAUGUGCCCAGAUGGGAUUAGCUUGUUGGUGGGGUAACGGCUCACCAAGGCGACGAUCCCUAGCUGGUCUGAGAGGAUGACCAGCCACACUGGAACUGAGACACGGUCCAGACUCCUACGGGAGGCAGCAGUGGGGAAUAUUGCACAAUGGGCGCAAGCCUGAUGCAGCCAUGC
This 307-nucleotide ribosomal RNA is filed under the name Escherichia coli. RNAcentral describes it as "bacterial SSU rRNA". It matches the Rfam family "Bacterial small subunit ribosomal RNA", at positions 87 to 397 of the family's 1533-position model. Lineage: Bacteria; Pseudomonadati; Pseudomonadota; Gammaproteobacteria; Enterobacterales; Enterobacteriaceae. The record is from RNAcentral.